ACGAACGCUGGCGGCGUGCUUAACACAUGCCAGUCGAGCGGUAAGGCCUUUCGGGGUACACGAGCGGCGAACGGGUGAGUAACACGUGGGUGAUCUGCCCUGCACUUCGGGAUAAGCCUGGGAAACUGGGUCUAAAACCGGAUAUGACCUCCUAUCGCAUGGUGGGUGGUGGAAAGAUUUAUCGGUGCAGGAUGGGCCCGCGGCCUAUCAGCUUGUUGGUGGGGUAAUGGCCUACCAAGGCGACGACGGGUAGCCGACCUGAGAGGGUGACCGGCCACACUGGGACUGAGACACGGCCCAGACUCCUACGGGAGGCAGCAGUGGGGAAUAUUGCACAAUGGGCGAAAGCCUGAUGCAGCGACGCCGCGUGAGGGAUGACGGCCUUCGGGUUGUAAACCUCUUUCAGCAGGGACGAAGCGCAAGUGACGGUACCUGCAGAAGAAGCACCGGCUAACUACGUG
Molecule: ribosomal RNA, 461 nt
Filed under: uncultured bacterium
Lineage: Bacteria
Description: partial 16S ribosomal RNA
Rfam family: Bacterial small subunit ribosomal RNA
Source: RNAcentral